CAAUAGCGUAUAUUAAAGUUGUUGCGGUUAAAAAGCUCGUAGUUGGAUUUCUGUUGGGAACGACCGGUCCGCCCAUUGGGUGUGUAUCUGGCUUGUUCUCGGCAUCUUCUUGGUGAACGUUGCUGCACUUGACUGUGUGGAGCGCUACCCAGGACUUUUACUUUGAGGAAAUUAGAGUGUUUCAAGCAGGCAUAUGCCUUGAAUACAUUAGCAUGGAAUAAUAAGAUAGGACCUCGGUUCUAUUUUGUUGGUUUCUAGAGCUGAGGUAAUGAUUAAUAGGGAUAGUUGGGGGCAUUCGUAUUUAACUGUCAGAGGUGAGAUUCUUGGAUUUGUUAAAGACGGACUACUGCGAAAGCAUUUGCCAAGGAUGUUUUCAUUGA
This 380-nucleotide ribosomal RNA is filed under the name uncultured eukaryote. RNAcentral's name for it is "partial 18S ribosomal RNA". It matches the Rfam family "Eukaryotic small subunit ribosomal RNA", at positions 592 to 976 of the family's 1831-position model. The record is from RNAcentral.